This 70-nucleotide transfer RNA is filed under the name Mannia fragrans. Its description in RNAcentral is "partial tRNA-Leu". The record is from RNAcentral. Lineage: Eukaryota; Viridiplantae; Streptophyta; Marchantiopsida; Marchantiales; Aytoniaceae.
GUAGACGCUACGGACUUAUGAAAAUCCGUUGGCUUUAAAGACCGUGAGGGUUCAAGUCCCUCUACCCCCA